Molecule: ribosomal RNA, 377 nt
Filed under: uncultured bacterium
Lineage: Bacteria
Description: bacterial SSU rRNA
Rfam family: Bacterial small subunit ribosomal RNA
Source: RNAcentral
UAAUACGUAGGGUCCAAGCGUUAUCCGGAAUCACUGGGCGUAAAGCGUGCGUAGGUGGUAAUUUGCGUGCAACGCGAAAUUGUGUGGCUCAACCAUACAACGUUGUUGCAUACGGGAUUACUAGAGGACAUGAGAGGCAAGUGGAAUUACUGGUGUAGCAGUGAAAUGCGUAGAUAUCAGUAGGAACACCAAUGGCGAAGGCAGCUUGCUGGCAUGUAUCUGACGCUAAGGCACGAAAGCGUGGGGAGCGAACAGGAUUAGAUACCCUGGUAGUCCACGCCGUAAACGAUGCAUAUUAUUAGUAUGGAGUAUCGACCCUCUGUGCUGAGAAGCUAACGCGUUAAAUAUGCCGCCUGGGGAGUACGAGCGCAAGCUUA